This 473-nucleotide long non-coding RNA is filed under the name Chinchilla lanigera (long-tailed chinchilla). RNAcentral describes it as "lncRNA (ENSCLAG00000024087.1)". Lineage: Eukaryota; Metazoa; Chordata; Mammalia; Rodentia; Chinchillidae. The record is from RNAcentral.
GGGAGGUUAGCGGGCGCUCUAGACUCUGCAGCAAGAAAGGGGCAUUCUCAGUGUGUACUGGACCCUGGGCCGGCUCCGGCUCUGCGGCGGACCUCGCGUCCCGGGACCCCAACUUGGCCGAAGUUUCUGGAAAGUGCCCGGGACAGCUAGCUCCUGGUCGUCCCUUGGGUCUCUGCUUCGCCUCGCGCAGACAUCCUUUGGGCUGGUUGCGCGCCUGGGCUCCUGAGUCCCAGCCGCAGGAACUGGGCCGCGGGACCCACGCGUUGCCGGCACCUGGCUAUCCCACGGAUUCCUCGAAACCAGGUCGCGUGGCCGGACACUAGGUCUGUGUCGCCGGGGUGGCCGAACGCUCUUCCCGUCGGCCCAGAGGCCCGAGCCUUCUUUGUCACUCGCUGCGCCUGAGGAGAACCCGGAGACUCGGGACUCCCGCCGCCACCCGGCGAGAGGGAGCAUCUGGCAGAACCUGCCUCCGA